This 254-nucleotide ribosomal RNA is filed under the name uncultured bacterium. RNAcentral describes it as "partial 16S ribosomal RNA". It matches the Rfam family "Bacterial small subunit ribosomal RNA", at positions 524 to 776 of the family's 1533-position model. The record is from RNAcentral.
GACGAACCGUGCGAACGUUAUUCGGAAUCAUUGGGCUUAAAGGGCGCGUAGGCGGCGGCGUAAGUUGGAAGUGAAAUCCCAUCGGCUCAACCGUGGAAUCGCUCCCAGUACUGCGUCGCUCGAGGGGGAUAGGGGUCUGCGGAACUACCGGUGGAGCGGUGAAAUGUGUUGAUAUCGGUGGGAACGCCAGUGGCGAAAGCGGCAGACUUGACCCUUCCUGACGCUGAGACGCGAAAGCGUGGGGAGCGAACAGG